Alligator sinensis (Chinese alligator) is the source of this 488-nucleotide long non-coding RNA. RefSeq lists it as uncharacterized. The record is from RefSeq and is a predicted model, not a curated record. The transcript has 3 exons. NCBI's taxonomy places the organism in Eukaryota, Metazoa, Chordata, Crocodylia, Alligatoridae.
UGCCGCCGGCAGGUGCCUGGAUGGUUACUAUGGCGACCCAGUGCUGGGCUCAGGGCAGCAGUGCCGGCCCUGCCCGUGCCCCGGGUAUCCGGGAACGCGGAGAUAUCACGGCACCGCCUGCCACGCUGACAAGCAGACCCGCCACAUCGUGUGCCUGUGCACGCCGGGCUACGCGGGGCUGCGCUGCGACCGCUGUGCGCCGGGGUACUUUGGGGCGCUGGAGCAGGAGGGGGGCGCCUGCCGGCCCUGCCAGUGCAACAACAACAUCGGCCCCAGCGACCCCGAGGCCUGCGACCCGCGCACCGGGCACUGCCAGCGCUGCCUGCACCACACCGACGGGCCCCGCUGCGCCCAGUGCCAGCCUGGCUACUACGGCAACGCCCUGCAGCGUGGCUGCCGACGCUGCACCUGUAACCAGCAGGGAACGCUGCCCUCCCACUGCGCCUCCGGCACCUGCCACUGCGACCGGGCCACGGGCCACUGCCCUG